RNAcentral lists this ribosomal RNA (404 nucleotides) under uncultured bacterium. RNAcentral describes it as "partial 16S ribosomal RNA". It matches the Rfam family "Bacterial small subunit ribosomal RNA", at positions 28 to 526 of the family's 1533-position model. The record is from RNAcentral.
GACGCACGCUGGCGGCGUGCCUAAUACAUGCAAGUCGAACGCAGUGGGGACGGGUGCGUAACACGUGGGUAACCUCCCCAUCAGAGGGGAUAACACUUUGAAACAGGUGCUAAACCGAUACUGAUGGAUGGACCCGCGGUGCAUGAGCUAGUGGGUGAGGUAACGGCUCACCAAGGCCACGAUGCAUAGCCGACUUGAGAGGGUGAUCGGCCACAUGUGGCCUGAGACACGGCCCAGAAUCCUACGGGAGGCAGCAGGAGGGAAUCGUCGGCAAUGGACGAAAGUCUGACCGAGCAACGCCGCGUGAGUGAAGAAGGUUUUCGGAUCGUAAAACUCUGUUGUUAGAGAAGCGGUAUCUAACCAGAAAGCCACGGCUAACUACGUGCCAGCAGCCGCGGUAAUUC